UAUGCACGCUGGCGGCGUGCUUAACACAUGCAAGUCGAACGGAAAGGCCCAAGCUUGCUUGGGUACUCGAGUGGCGAACGGGUGAGUAACACGUGGGUGAUCUGCCCUGCACUUCGGGAUAAGCCUGGGAAACUGGGUCUAAUACCGGAUAGGACCACUUCUUGGAUGUUGUGGUGGAAAGUUUUUUCGGUGUGGGAUGAGCUCGCGGCCUAUCAGCUUGUUGGUGGGGUAAUGGCCUACCAAGGCGUCGACGGGUAGCCGGCCUGAGAGGGUGUACGGCCACAUUGGGACUGAGAUACGGCCCAGACUCCUACGGGAGGCAGCAGUGGGGAAUAUUGCACAAUGGGCGCAAGCCUGAUGCAGCGACGCCGCGUGGGGGAUGACGGCCUUCGGGUUGUAAACUCCUUUCGCUAGGGACGAAGCGUUUUGUGACGGUACCUGGAGAAGAAGCACCGGCUAACUACGUG
This 467-nucleotide ribosomal RNA is filed under the name uncultured bacterium. Its description in RNAcentral is "partial 16S ribosomal RNA". It matches the Rfam family "Bacterial small subunit ribosomal RNA", at positions 29 to 507 of the family's 1533-position model. The record is from RNAcentral.